Molecule: non-coding RNA, 2012 nt
Organism: Corylus avellana
Lineage: Eukaryota; Viridiplantae; Streptophyta; Magnoliopsida; Fagales; Betulaceae
Source: RefSeq, a predicted model, not a curated record
CGUCCUCUAGCGGUCUUCAAAAUUUCUAUCAUUUAUUUCCCUCCAAAAUACACCACAAAAGAGAGGACGAAAUCAUCUUCUACACUGCUCUGCACUCUAGGAAUUGCCACUCAAUCCUCUUCAACAAGUGAACAGCCACUCUCCUAGGCAUUACCAAAGUAAGACCAACACGACUAAAAAUAGUACUCCAUAUGGCACUUGCAAGCUCACAAUGCAAAAAAAGAUAAUCCAUAGACUCUACACAUCUCUUACACACAAACCGGUUCACCACACUGACAUGCCAUUUCCUAAGGUUAUCUAUGGUAAGGAUUUUUCCUAAGGUAUUUGACCAAGCAAAAAUUGCCACUCUCAAAGGGACCUUAUUAUGCCAGAUACACUUUUAAGGGAAAGGAGUACCAUUAUGGAGGACAAGGACAUUAUAGAACAAUCUAACGUUGAACAAUCCUCUCUUGGAAAGGACCCAACAAAGCUUCUCUUCACCUCCCCAGCCCGAUUUAGAGGAAUACAACAAAUUGAAGAAUGAAGCAAAGAAAUCCACCUCCCAAUCAUGAGCCACUUUAAUUAAGCUUAUGUUCCACUUAUGGGAGUCACUAAAAACCUCCUAAUGAUCCGCCACAGAGGCAUCCUUGACGCGAACUAUACAAUACAAAAUUAGAAAAGCUCGUUGAGGGCCUGAUCUCUACAUCACGUGCCAUUCCAAAAUCUAUUUUUAGAGCCAUCUCUCACCUCAAAUCUAACGUGACUAGCAAACUCCCGCAGCCACUCCCGAUAUUUUUUCAUAGCCCCACUCCAAACUAAAAGGUAUCUUUCAUAUGGCUUUAUAUGACUUUUGUAAUAAGUGAAAGAAUUUCAGCUCAUUGGAAAAGUGCAUUUGGUUUUCCUGUAUCAUGGUCAAAAAUAAGAUAUGGUAAUACACUGGGAAACCUAAUUUUCAUGCUCAAAGCAAAACUCCUUUCUAAUAUUCCAAAUUUCUUUUUAUCAAUUAUCCACCACUUUUGAAUUUUUUAUUUUAAAUCUUAGGCAUGGCUGCAUAUUGCAGUGUGGAUGGUACAAUUCUCCGUUUCCAGGUGAGAUACAGUUCCCUUCCAGGUCUCACUUGCAUACAAGAAAAGCAGUGGAGAAAGAUCAUACGCGAAAUCGGACCCCGCAUUUUCUUUGUGGGUCACUAACUGAAGAGGAAUCAACUAUCGCAAUCAAAACUCCAGUACCAAACACCCCUUUCCCAUUAAAGAAGUCACUUAACAAAAGUGUGGACACCUCUGUAUCCUUGCGGGAGUUCUCACUGGGGCCACGACAGGUUAAAAAAGCAAGUGAUAAGAUGGCAAAAAAUCAGCCCUUUCUUUCGGCGAUGAUCCGGGUGUGGAAUUGGGACCCGAGGAAGCAGAUCCCAAGAGCGAAAAGAAACCAAAUAAAAGUCGCGGUAAGAAAAAGAAAAAUUCAGGAGAUGACCUAGCCUUGGUAUACAGAGAUGAAGAGCCACUAAAAACACACGGGAAAGAAGAUAGAAAAGUUGAAGAUCGGACUAUUGAAGUUUUUCCUCCGAAAGCUGUAGCGAUGCAUAGGGUGAGGUGGAACAUGAACAAGGGUAGUGAGAGAUGGUUGUGCUAUGGUGGAGCCGCUGGACUUGUACGUUGUCAGGAGAUUGUUUUGUCUGAUUUCGAUAAGAAAUUGGCCAUGAAGAGAUGAGACGGGUCCCUAAUAUAUAUAUAUAUAUAUAUAUAUAUAUAUAUAUAUAAUCAUGUUCUUAAUUGGCUAUCCAAUGUAAUCGCCCAAAUUUAUUCUGGAUCGGUGUAUGCAUGCAUGGGCAUCAUUUUUUGCUUCCAUGCUGUGUGGCACCGGCGGCGACCUGCCAUGGAAGUGUGAAGAGGGCUCUUGUAUGAACCGUAUUCAGCUUAAGAAGCAUAAACUGUAAUUUGUAUGUUAUUAAUAUGAAGUCAUUGGCAUCAUCAUCUCUAUUUGCUGGAAUUAUUUGAAGCUCUACCAGCUUAGUUGAUCACGACCUUCACCAGUGA